AGUGAACGCUGGCGGUAGGCCUAACACAUGCAAGUCGAACGGCAGCACAGUAAGAGCUUGCUCUUACGGGUGGCGAGUGGCGGACGGGUGAGGAAUACAUCGGAAUCUACUUUUUCGUGGGGGAUAACGUAGGGAAACUUACGCUAAUACCGCAUACGACCUACGGGUGAAAGCAGGGGAUCUUCGGACCUUGCGCGAUUGAAUGAGCCGAUGUCGGAUUAGCUAGUUGGCGGGGUAAAGGCCCACCAAGGCGACGAUCCGUAGCUGGUCUGAGAGGAUGAUCAGCCACACUGGAAGUGAGACACGGUCCAGACUCCUACGGGAGGGAGCAGUGGGGAAUAUUGGACAAUGGGCGCAAGCCUGAUCCAGCCAUACCGCGUGGGUGAAGAAGGCCUUCGGGUUGUAAAGCCCUUUUGUUGGGAAAGAAAAGCAGCAGGUUAAUACCCCGCUGUUCUGACGGUACCCAAAGAAUAAGCACCGGCUAACUUCGUG
Molecule: ribosomal RNA, 492 nt
Filed under: uncultured bacterium
Lineage: Bacteria
Description: partial 16S ribosomal RNA
Rfam family: Bacterial small subunit ribosomal RNA
Source: RNAcentral